CUUUAGUUAGCUUAAUUUAAAGUUUUAGAUUCUUAAUCUAUUUAGAUAGCAGUUAAAGUCUGUUACUAAAGA
RNAcentral lists this transfer RNA (72 nucleotides) under Comatella stelligera. Its description in RNAcentral is "tRNA-Lys". It matches the Rfam family "tRNA". From Rfam's summary of the family: Transfer RNA (tRNA) molecules are approximately 80 nucleotides in length. Lineage: Eukaryota; Metazoa; Echinodermata; Crinoidea; Comatulida; Comatulidae. The record is from RNAcentral.